GGUAGUCCACGCCGUAAACGAUGAGUGCUAGGUGUUAGGCCCUUUCCGGGGCUUAGUGCCGGAGCUAACGCAAUAAGCACUCCGCCUGGGGAGUACGACCGCAAGGUUGAAACUCAAAGGAAUUGACGGGGGCCCGCACAAGCGGUGGAGCAUGUGGUUUAAUUCGAAGCAACGCGAAGAACCUUACCAGGUCUUGACAUCCCGAUGCUAUUCUUAGAGAUAGGAAGUUACUUCGGUACAUCGGAGACAGGUGGUGCAUGGUUGUCGUCAGCUCGUGUCGUGAGAUGUUGGGUUAAGUCCCGCAACGAGCGCAACCCUUAUUGUUAGUUGCCAUCAUUAAGUUGGGCACUCUAGCGAGACUGCCGGUAAUAAACCGGAGGAAGGUGGGGAUGACGUCAAAUCAUCAUGCCCCUUAUGACCUGGGCUACACACGUGCUACAAUGGUCGGUACAACGAGUUGCGAGCCGGUGACGGCAAGCUAAUCUCUGAAAGCCGAUCUCAGUUCGGAUUGGAGGUUGCAACUCGCCUCCAUGAAGUCGGAAUCGCUAGUAAUCGCGGAUCAGCACGCCGCGGUGAAUACGUUCCCGGGCCUUGUACACACCGCCCGUCACACCACGAGAGUUUGUAACACCCGAAGUCGGUGAGGUAAC
Molecule: ribosomal RNA, 650 nt
Filed under: uncultured bacterium
Lineage: Bacteria
Description: bacterial SSU rRNA
Rfam family: Bacterial small subunit ribosomal RNA
Source: RNAcentral